UUAUGUUUUUUUUUUUUUUUUUAUUGUGGUAGCUGACAAAAUAUUGGGACAUACAAAUAAAGAAACAUUUGCGGCCUGCGGUGCAUUUCUUGCAGUCCUGAUGCAUGUAGAAAUGUUUUCAUAUAUAUAUAUUUUAGUUGGGGUAGCCCACAAAAUAUUGGGACAUAUAAAAAAAGACAACUCUGUUCCGAAGAGUAGCUGUUGACAUUAUAGUUGCGCAGGAACUUUGUUGACUCUAGAGAACCUCGGGCAAAUCCAUAUCAACUUUCGAUGCCAAUUUCUGCGCCUACCAUGGCGACCAUGGGUAAUGGGGAAUCAGGGUUCCAUUCCGUACAGGGACCCUGAGAAACAUCUACCACAUGCAAGGAAGGCAGCAGGCGCGCAAAUGACCCACUCCCUACAAGGGAAGGUAGAGACGACAAAUAACAAUACAGGACUCUUUAGAGACCCUGUAGUUGUAAUGAGUCCACUUGAAAUCCUUUAACUCUGAUCAAUUGGAGGGAAGUCUGGUGCAGAGCCACUGACCCAUGCGUGCUGCAGCUGAAACGUAA
This 551-nucleotide ribosomal RNA is filed under the name Pelobates cultripes (western spadefoot toad). Its description in RNAcentral is "SSU_rRNA_eukarya". It matches the Rfam family "Eukaryotic small subunit ribosomal RNA", at positions 113 to 582 of the family's 1831-position model. The record is from RNAcentral. Lineage: Eukaryota; Metazoa; Chordata; Amphibia; Anura; Pelobatidae.